AGAGCAGCAGCAACAUCAGUGAACAGAGUUAAACAAUUAAACGGACUUAAACUGAGUUACAGUGCUGUUAAAGUUAUAAAUCCACUCAGUAAAUAAUAGAUUUAGUGUUUUAGUGAUCAGACAGUGAGAGAUGUCGCUCUGCAGCACAGUGAUGAAGACUCUGAUCUUCUUCACAUUUUCUCUUCAUCUUUCAUCAGCAGAUAAACACUAUUACCAGUAUUUCUACACUGGAGUCACACCAGGAAUUAACUUCCCAGAAUUCACUGCUGUUGGGAUGCUGGAUGGUCUGCAAGUCAACUACUAUGACAGCAACAUCAUGAAGUUUGAGCCAAAGACUGAGUGGAUAAAGAAGGUUCAUAAUGAUGAUCCAGAUGUCUGGAAUAGAUGGAGCAAGAAUUUCAAGGAGGGUACUCAGGAGAGCUUCAAAGUCGGUGUGGAUACACUAAUGCAGCGCUUUAAUCAGACCACAGGAGUUCACACAUGGCAGAUGAUGUGCGGCUGUGAGCUGGAUGAUGACGGGACUGUUAGAGGAUACACACAGUUUGGUUAUGAUGGAGAAGAUUUUGUCAGUUUGGAUCUUAAAACUAAAACGUGGGUCGCUCCAACACCAAAAGCUUUGAUCACCAAGAACAAGUGGGAUCCUGAUACUGGUUAUAAUAACAACUGGAAGAACUACCUGGAGAAAGAGUGUAUCGACUGGAUAAAGAAGUAUGUGUCUUACGGCAGAGAGACUCUGGAGAGGAAAGUUCGUCCUGAGACGUCACUGUUCCAGGAAGAAGCCUCUUCUCCAGAGGUGGUGUGUCACGCUACAGGUUUCUUCCCCAAAGCAGUGAUGAUCUUCUGGAGGAAGGACGGAGAGGACGUGCAUGAGGACGUGGAGCUCAGAGAGACGUUACCCAACCAGGAUGGAAGCUUCCAGAAGAGAAGCAUUCUGAAAGUCCCAGCUGAGGAGCUGCAGAAACACACCUACACCUGUGUGAUUCAGCACAGCAGCUUGGAGAAGGAGUUAGUGCUGAAUGUGAGCGAGCGACAGAUCCUGAAAGGUGGAGGAUCGAUGGUUAUCAUCAUUGGUGUAGUCGUGGCUCUCAUUGUUCUCGUUCUGAUUGCCGUUGUUGCUGGAAUUAUAGUUUGGAAGAAGAAGAACUCUGGUGAGAGGAGGAAGGAGGCAGAUGUGAAGUUUUCAGAGAACAGAUUUACACUUUCUAAUUCUUGAAGGAGAUUUGAUGAAGAUUUUACUUGUUUUUAAUCUGAACUGAUAAACUGAUAAAUAAAUGUCUGUCCAUCAUCUGUGUUUCAGGCUUCAAACGUGCUCCAGCCUCUGAAGAGUCUUCCUCCACCAACUCUUAAAGCGUGACUGUGUGUCUUCCUGCUGAAGUGAGAGAGAGACACCAGGAGAUGGAGAUGAGGACCACACACACACACACACACACAAUAUUCAGUGGGUAUCGGGGUAUGAUUUAUUUUCUUGUAAAUCUCUUGUUCUGGGUGUAAAAUGGGAUUUUUCUGAUUGUUAUAGUUUUAUUUUUAUGCUCUGUGUAAAUUCUCUGUGUAGUUUGCAUUCUUCAUCUGUGAUUUUACACACACACACACACACACACACACACACACACACACAGAUCUACUCAGGCUUCAGUCUUUAAUAGUGUUUUAAACAGGAGUGUGUAUCAGUUUGUGUAUCAGUUUGUUUAUUCUGUACGUUUCUCAGCUGAUUUCCUGUAGAAUUGAAUCAGGUUCAGAUCGUCAGCACACGAGAGCUUUGAGUUCCGUCUUUUCCCUCUGACUCCAGUGAGAUUUUCCUCAGCAGCUGUUUGUGUAGCUGAUGGAUUUGUGCGUCUCAGACAGAAACUGGGUUCUUCAGAUGUGAUGAGUGUUGAACAGAUUGGACUAAAGUGUAAAAGAACAGGAGUGAAGACAGCAGAAGCAGGAGGUCAUGCUGGAGGAUCAGAACUCUGAGAUUUUAUUUUCAACACAAGAACAAAACACAAAGUCACUAAACCUCACUGAGGACUUUAUUUAUUACUGAACUCCAUUUAAAACUUAAACAAUCCAUUCAACACCUUUUCACAUCUGAACGACCUGUUUAACAAAUCUGUGUGUUUUAUUAGCUUCAGUCCCAUCAGUAAUUCUAACACAUCAUACUGUGUGUGUUUCCAGACCUUUAAACACACAAACACACACUCAGCACUGACUCACAAUCAGUUAUCAACCUUCAUCUGUUCUGUUCUGUUUUAAGGGGAUUAGUCUCAUAAAGACACAUUUACUGGUUUGUGUUUCUUCUCUGUUUAAAUUUUAGCUUAAGAUUAAUAUUAACAUGAUAAAGAUAAAAGGAUGCAAACUGUUAUAAUAAUGCUGAAAUAAAUAA
Tachysurus vachellii is the source of this 2362-nucleotide RNA transcript. It is a transcript of the gene named BOLA class I histocompatibility antigen, alpha chain BL3-7-like, with no coding region annotated. The transcript is spliced from 6 exons. The record is from RefSeq and is a predicted model, not a curated record. Lineage: Eukaryota; Metazoa; Chordata; Actinopteri; Siluriformes; Bagridae.